GGGUUGUGAGGUUAAGCGACUAAGCGUACACGGUGGAUGCCCUGGCAGUCAGAGGCGAUGAAGGACGUGCUAAUCUGCGAUAAGCGUCGGUAAGGUGAUAUGAACCGUUAUAACCGGCGAUUUCCGAAUGGGGAAACCCAGUGUGUUUCGACACACUAUCAUUAACUGAAUCCAUAGGUUAAUGAGGCGAACCGGGGGAACUGAAACAUCUAAGUACCCCGAGGAAAAGAAAUCAACCGAGAUUCCCCCAGUAGCGGCGAGCGAACGGGGAGCAGCCCAGAGCCUGAAUCAGUGUGUGUGUUAGUGGAAGCGUCUGGAAAGGCGCGCGAUACAGGGUGACAGCCCCGUACACAAAAUGCACAUACUGUGAGCUCGAUGAGUAGGGCGGGACACGUGGUAUCCUGUCUGAAUAUGGGGGGACCAUCCUCCAAGGCUAAAUACUCCUGACUGACCGAUAGUGAACCAGUACCGUGAGGGAAAGGCGAAAAGAACCCCGGCGAGGGGAGUGAAAAAGAACCUGAAACCGUGUACGUACAAGCAGUGGGAGCACGCUUAGGCGUGUGACUGCGUACCUUUUGUAUAAUGGGUCAGCGACUUAUAUUCUGUAGCAAGGUUAACCGAAUAGGGGAGCCGAAGGGAAACCGAGUCUUAACUGGGCGUUAAGUUGCAGGGUAUAGACCCGAAACCCGGUGAUCUAGCCAUGGGCAGGUUGAAGGUUGGGUAACACUAACUGGAGGACCGAACCGACUAAUGUUGAAAAAUUAGCGGAUGACUUGUGGCUGGGGGUGAAAGGCCAAUCAAACCGGGAGAUAGCUGGUUCUCCCCGAAAGCUAUUUAGGUAGCGCCUCGUGAAUUCAUCUCCGGGGGUAGAGCACUGUUUCGGCAAGGGGGUCAUCCCGACUUACCAACCCGAUGCAAACUGCGAAUACCGGAGAAUGUUAUCACGGGAGACACACGGCGGGUGCUAACGUCCGUCGUGAAGAGGGAAACAACCCAGACCGCCAGCUAAGGUCCCAAAGUCAUGGUUAAGUGGGAAACGAUGUGGGAAGGCCCAGACAGCCAGGAUGUUGGCUUAGAAGCAGCCAUCAUUUAAAGAAAGCGUAAUAGCUCACUGGUCGAGUCGGCCUGCGCGGAAGAUGUAACGGGGCUAAACCAUGCACCGAAGCUGCGGCAGCGACGCUGAUGCGUUGUUGGGUAGGGGAGCGUUCUGUAAGCCUGCGAAGGUGUGCUGUGAGGCAUGCUGGAGGUAUCAGAAGUGCGAAUGCUGACAUAAGUAACGAUAAAGCGGGUGAAAAGCCCGCUCGCCGGAAGACCAAGGGUUCCUGUCCAACGUUAAUCGGGGCAGGGUGAGUCGACCCCUAAGGCGAGGCCGAAAGGCGUAGUCGAUGGGAAACAGGUUAAUAUUCCUGUACUUGGUGUUACUGCGAAGGGGGGACGGAGAAGGCUAUGUUGGCCGGGCGACGGUUGUCCCGGUUUAAGCGUGUAGGCUGGUUUUCCAGGCAAAUCCGGAAAAUCAAGGCUGAGGCGUGAUGACGAGGCACUACGGUGCUGAAGCAACAAAUGCCCUGCUUCCAGGAAAAGCCUCUAAGCAUCAGGUAACAUCAAAUCGUACCCCAAACCGACACAGGUGGUCAGGUAGAGAAUACCAAGGCGCUUGAGAGAACUCGGGUGAAGGAACUAGGCAAAAUGGUGCCGUAACUUCGGGAGAAGGCACGCUGAUAUGUAGGUGAAGCGACUUGCUCGUGGAGCUGAAAUCAGUCGAAGAUACCAGCUGGCUGCAACUGUUUAUUAAAAACACAGCACUGUGCAAACACGAAAGUGGACGUAUACGGUGUGACGCCUGCCCGGUGCCGGAAGGUUAAUUGAUGGGGUCAGCGCAAGCGAAGCUCUUGAUCGAAGCCCCGGUAAACGGCGGCCGUAACUAUAACGGUCCUAAGGUAGCGAAAUUCCUUGUCGGGUAAGUUCCGACCUGCACGAAUGGCGUAAUGAUGGCCAGGCUGUCUCCACCCGAGACUCAGUGAAAUUGAACUCGCUGUGAAGAUGCAGUGUACCCGCGGCAAGACGGAAAGACCCCGUGAACCUUUACUAUAGCUUGACACUGAACAUUGAGCCUUGAUGUGUAGGAUAGGUGGGAGGCUUUGAAGUGUGGACGCCAGUCUGCAUGGAGCCGACCUUGAAAUACCACCCUUUAAUGUUUGAUGUUCUAACGUUGACCCGUGAUCCGGGUUGCGGACAGUGUCUGGUGGGUAGUUUGACUGGGGCGGUCUCCUCCUAAAGAGUAACGGAGGAGCACGAAGGUUGGCUAAUCCUGGUCGGACAUCAGGAGGUUAGUGCAAUGGCAUAAGCCAGCUUGACUGCGAGCGUGACGGCGCGAGCAGGUGCGAAAGCAGGUCAUAGUGAUCCGGUGGUUCUGAAUGGAAGGGCCAUCGCUCAACGGAUAAAAGGUACUCCGGGGAUAACAGGCUGAUACCGCCCAAGAGUUCAUAUCGACGGCGGUGUUUGGCACCUCGAUGUCGGCUCAUCACAUCCUGGGGCUGAAGUAGGUCCCAAGGGUAUGGCUGUUCGCCAUUUAAAGUGGUACGCGAGCUGGGUUUAGAACGUCGUGAGACAGUUCGGUCCCUAUCUGCCGUGGGCGCUGGAGAACUGAGGGGGGCUGCUCCUAGUACGAGAGGACCGGAGUGGACGCAUCACUGGUGUUCGGGUUGUCAUGCCAAUGGCACUGCCCGGUAGCUAAAUGCGGAAGAGAUAAGUGCUGAAAGCAUCUAAGCACGAAACUUGCCCCGAGAUGAGUUCUCCCUGACUCCUUGAGAGUCCUGAAGGAACGUUGAAGACGACGACGUUGAUAGGCCGGGUGUGUAAGCGCAGCGAUGCGUUGAGCUAACCGGUACUAAUGAACCGUGAGGCUUAACCUUACAACGCCGAAGCUGUU
RNAcentral lists this ribosomal RNA (2929 nucleotides) under Escherichia coli O121 str. RM8352. RNAcentral describes it as "bacterial LSU rRNA". It matches the Rfam family "Bacterial large subunit ribosomal RNA". Lineage: Bacteria; Pseudomonadati; Pseudomonadota; Gammaproteobacteria; Enterobacterales; Enterobacteriaceae. The record is from RNAcentral.